RNAcentral lists this ribosomal RNA (449 nucleotides) under uncultured bacterium. RNAcentral describes it as "partial 16S ribosomal RNA". It matches the Rfam family "Bacterial small subunit ribosomal RNA", at positions 29 to 523 of the family's 1533-position model. The record is from RNAcentral.
AACGAACGCUGGCGGCAUGCCUAACACAUGCAAGUCGAACGAGAUCUUCGGGUCUAGUGGCGCACGGGUGCGUAACGCGUGGGAAUCUGUCCUUUGGUUCGGAAUAACAGUUAGAAACGACUGCUAAUACCGGAUGAUGACGAAAGUCCAAAGAUUUAUCGCCAGAGGAUGAGCCCGCGUAGGAUUAGCUAGUUGGUGUGGUAAAGGCGCACCAAGGCGACGAUCCUUAGCUGGUCUGAGAGGAUGAUCAGCCACACUGGGACUGAGACACGGCCCAGACUCCUACGGGAGGCAGCAGUGGGGAAUAUUGGACAAUGGGCGAAAGCCUGAUCCAGCAAUGCCGCGUGAGUGAUGAAGGCCUUAGGGUUGUAGAGCUCUUUUACCCGGGAUGAUAAUGACAGUACCGGGAGAAUAAGCUCCGGCUAACUCCGUGCCAGCCGCCGCGGUAA